GCAGACGGGUGAGUAACACGUGGGAACGUGCCCUUUGGUUCGGAACAACUCCGGGAAACUGGAGCUAAUACCGGAUAAGCCCUUCGGGGGAAAGAUUUAUCGCCAAAGGAUCGGCCCGCGUCUGAUUAGCUUGUUGGUGAGGUAAUGGCUCACCAAGGCGACGAUCAGUAGCUGGUCUGAGAGGAUGAUCAGCCACACUGGGACUGAGACACGGCCCAGACUCCUACGGGAGGCAGCAGUGGGGAAUAUUGGACAAUGGGCGCAAGCCUGAUCCAGCCAUGCCGCGUGAGUGAUGAAGGCCCUAGGGUUGUAAAGCUCUUUCGGCGGGGACGAUAAUGACGGUACCCGCAGAAGAAGCCCCGGCUAACUUCGUGCCAGCAGCCGCGGUAAUACGAAGGGGGCUAGCGUUGCUCGGAAUCACUGGGCGUAAAGGGCGCGUAGGCGGCCAUUCAAGUCAGGGGUGAAAGCCUGUGGCUCAACCACAGAAUUGCCUUUGAUAC
RNAcentral lists this ribosomal RNA (500 nucleotides) under uncultured Hyphomicrobiales bacterium. RNAcentral's name for it is "bacterial SSU rRNA". It matches the Rfam family "Bacterial small subunit ribosomal RNA", at positions 98 to 633 of the family's 1533-position model. The record is from RNAcentral. Lineage: Bacteria; Pseudomonadati; Pseudomonadota; Alphaproteobacteria; Hyphomicrobiales.